GACGAACCGUGCGAACGUUUGUUCGGAAUCAUUGGGCUUAAAGGGCGCGUAGGUGGCGUCGCAAGUCGAUGGUGAAAGCUCGGCGCUCAACGCCGAGUCGGCCCUUGAUACUGCGAGGCUGGAGCACUGUAGAGGCAGAUGGAAUUCCGGGUGUAGCGGUGGAAUGCGUAGAGACGUCGGAAGAACACCGGUGGCGAAGGCGGUCUGCUGGG
RNAcentral lists this ribosomal RNA (212 nucleotides) under uncultured bacterium. Its description in RNAcentral is "partial 16S ribosomal RNA". It matches the Rfam family "Bacterial small subunit ribosomal RNA", at positions 524 to 733 of the family's 1533-position model. The record is from RNAcentral.